Molecule: long non-coding RNA, 617 nt
Organism: Dermochelys coriacea (leatherback sea turtle)
Lineage: Eukaryota; Metazoa; Chordata; Testudines; Dermochelyidae
Exons: 4
Source: RefSeq, a predicted model, not a curated record
CAGAAGAUCACAUACAUUCAUUACUUACAAAAUAAUUUCGACAAGGUUUUUAGUGCUGACAUCACAUAUGAAAAGCUGUGUCCUCACUGCACUCAUUUAACCAUGGGACGUUGAAGUUUCAUUUCUUUUUCCCCAUUUUGUGGCUGCUUACAAGAUGUGGGCCUGAUCCCGCCCCCAUUGGACUCCAGAGCAGAGCUUCAGCUGAUUACAACAGGAAUCAAAUAAAUGAGGCAAAGGCAUAAUUGGAGGCUGCAGAGUUCUGCAGUGUCUACCAGACCCACAGACAAAGCAUUUAAAGUACACUACCAUUCUGAAAAGUGAAUGGUAGAGAAAAUGUAGAGAAAAUGGCACCUCCUUACUCAACAGAUCUGUUCCAUUUGCUUCUUCAGGGUCACAUCCGCUGAAGCUAGUGCUUGCUGAGUCUCACACCUGCUAGCCCUCCAGAGCCAGCACAGGUGCAGGGAGCGAUUUUGCUGACUCAGCCUGGUUUCCAGACAAUAUGAGUAUCCUCAUCUUAAUUCAGGACCGUGAAGGCUGGGAGUUUCUCUGACAUAAGACAGAGCCAAAGGAAAGGUCAGUAUGGCCCGCAGGGAGAAUUCCUCAUCCACAUACAUACA